AACCCCUGUGACAUACCACUUGUUGCCUCGGCGGAUCAGCCCGCUCCCGGUAAAACGGGACGGCCCGCCAGAGGACCCCUAAACUCUGUUUCUAUAUGUAACUUCUGAGUAAAACCAUAAAUAAAUCAAAACUUUCAACAACGGAUCUCUUGGUUCUGGCAUCGAUGAAGAACGCAGCAAAAUGCGAUAAGUAAUGUGAAUUGCAGAAUUCAGUGAAUCAUCGAAUCUUUGAACGCACAUUGCGCCCGCCAGUAUUCUGGCGGGCAUGCCUGUUCGAGCGUCAUUUCAACCCUCAAGCACAGCUUGGUGUUGGGACUCGCGUUAAUUCGCGUUCCUCAAAUUGAUUGGCGGUCACGUCGAGCUUCCAUAGCGUAGUAGUAAAACCCUCGUUACUGGUAAUCGUCGCGGCCACGCCGUUAAACCCCAACUUCUGAAUGUUGACCUCGGAUCAGGUAGGAAUACCCGCUGAACUUAAGCA
This 478-nucleotide ribosomal RNA is filed under the name Fusarium oxysporum f. sp. lycopersici. RNAcentral's name for it is "eukaryotic LSU rRNA". The stretch from base 130 to 283 matches the Rfam family "5.8S ribosomal RNA". Lineage: Eukaryota; Fungi; Ascomycota; Sordariomycetes; Hypocreales; Nectriaceae. The record is from RNAcentral.